Molecule: non-coding RNA, 542 nt
Filed under: Pan troglodytes (chimpanzee)
Lineage: Eukaryota; Metazoa; Chordata; Mammalia; Primates; Hominidae
Source: RNAcentral
ACUUUAGUUUUUCCACUUUGUUGCAAACAAUUGCAAGGUGUCCAGGUUUUCUGUCUUCCCCCAGCCUGCAAGUGCUCAGAGGACACCCAACCCUAUGAUCUCAGCCAACUCAUGAAGUUUGAUUUCACAAAACUUAGUGAUGUCUUCCCAGUGGAAUCCUAAAUGAUAAGGAAAAUGGUAUAGAGCCAAGACUUGAACAUUAACAACCCAGGAGCACAGAAACAGCACAGUUAGCUGAGAGGCGUUAUGGAGAGAAGCAACCGAAUGCGCACUGGGCGCUGUGAGAAGUCCACGACAGUGGGGAACAGCGCCCACCGUCACAAAAAGAAAGACCCUCGGCAGGUACUUUAGAGUCACGUUCAUGCUGUAAUAUGUGGGGAAGAAAGGCUAUUCCAAAUGGAUCUGGCUCUUUAAAACAAGGGAAUUUUCCUUGCUCUUGGGAACCAGCAAAAUCCAGCUGCUCAUUGAACUGCCUGUCUGGAAUCUCACAAAUUUGCACCUUGAAGUUGUUAAUAAAGGACUAAGUUGAUAAUUCGAACAAA